Molecule: ribosomal RNA, 253 nt
Filed under: uncultured bacterium
Lineage: Bacteria
Description: partial 16S ribosomal RNA
Rfam family: Bacterial small subunit ribosomal RNA
Source: RNAcentral
UACGGAGGGUGCAAGCGUUGUCCGGAUUUAUUGGGCGUAAAGGGUGCGUAGGCGGCGCGGUAAGCGUGCGGUGAAAGCCCGGGGCUCAACCCCGGGUCGGCCGUGCGGACUGCCGGGCUGGAGCACUGUAGAGGCAGGUGGAAUUCCGGGUGUAGCGGUGGAAUGCGUAGAGAUCCGGAAGAACACCGGUGGCGAAGGCGGCCUGCUGGGCAGUAGCUGACGCUGAAGCGCGACAGCGUGGGGAGCAAACAGG